RNAcentral lists this ribosomal RNA (726 nucleotides) under uncultured bacterium. Its description in RNAcentral is "bacterial SSU rRNA". It matches the Rfam family "Bacterial small subunit ribosomal RNA", at positions 94 to 823 of the family's 1533-position model. The record is from RNAcentral.
AGCGGCGAACGGGUGAGUAACACGUAGGUGAUCUGCCCAUCAGACGGGGACAACGAUUGGAAACGAUCGCUAAUACCGGAUAGGACGAAAGUUUAAAGGUGCUUCUGGCACCGCUGAUGGAUGAGCCUGCGGCGCAUUAGCUAGUUGGUAGGGUAAAGGCCUACCAAGGCGACGAUGCGUAGCCGACCUGAGAGGGUGAACGGCCACACUGGGACUGAGACACGGCCCAGACUCCUACGGGAGGCAGCAGUAGGGAAUCUUCGGCAAUGGGCGAAAGCCUGACCGAGCAACGCCGCGUGAAUGAUGAAGGCCUUCGGGUUGUAAAAUUCUGUUAUAAGGGAAGAACGACUUUAGUAGGAAAUGGCUAGAGUGUGACGGUACCUUAUGAGAAAGCCACGGCUAACUACGUGCCAGCAGCCGCGGUAAUACGUAGGUGGCGAGCGUUAUCCGGAAUUAUUGGGCGUAAAGAGCGCGCAGGUGGUCGAUUAAGUCUGAUGUGAAAGCCCACGGCUUAACCGUGGAGGGUCAUUGGAAACUGGUCGACUUGAGUGCAGAAGAGGGAAGUGGAAUUCCAUGUGUAGCGGUGAAAUGCGUAGAGAUAUGGAGGAACACCAGUGGCGAAGGCGGCUUCCUGGUCUGUAACUGACACUGAGGCGCGAAAGCGUGGGGAGCAAACAGGAUUAGAUACUCUGGUAGUCCACGCCGUAAACGAUGAGUGCUAAGUGU